GUUUUAAUAGUUUAAAAAAAAUUUUAGUUUUGUAAACUAGAGAUGUCCUCUUAAAACA
Molecule: transfer RNA, 58 nt
Filed under: Centruroides limpidus
Lineage: Eukaryota; Metazoa; Arthropoda; Arachnida; Scorpiones; Buthidae
Description: tRNA-Thr
Source: RNAcentral